Molecule: ribosomal RNA, 497 nt
Filed under: uncultured bacterium
Lineage: Bacteria
Description: partial 16S ribosomal RNA
Rfam family: Bacterial small subunit ribosomal RNA
Source: RNAcentral
GACGAACGCUGGCGGCGUGCCUAAUACAUGCAAGUUGAGCGCUGAAGGUUGGUACUUGUACCAACUGGAUGAGCAGCGAACGGGUGAGUAACGCGUGGGGAAUCUGCCUUUGAGCGGGGGACAACAUUUGGAAACGAAUGCUAAUACCGCAUAAAAACUUUAAACACAAGUUUUAAGUUUGAAAGAUGCAAUUGCAUCACUCAAAGAUGAUCCCGCGUUGUAUUAGCUAGUUGGUGAGGUAAAGGCUCACCAAGGCGAUGAUACAUAGCCGACCUGAGAGGGUGAUCGGCCACAUUGGGACUGAGACACGGCCCAAACUCCUACGGGAGGCAGCAGUAGGGAAUCUUCGGCAAUGGACGAAAGUCUGACCGAGCAACGCCGCGUGAGGGAAGAAGGUUGUCGGAUCGGAAAACUCGGUUGGUAGAGAAGAACGUUGGUGAGAGUGGAAAGCUCAUCAAGUGACGGUAACUACCCAGAAAGGGACGGCUAACUACGUG